Molecule: ribosomal RNA, 386 nt
Filed under: uncultured Microcaldota archaeon
Lineage: Archaea; Nanobdellati; Microcaldota
Description: bacterial SSU rRNA
Rfam family: Archaeal small subunit ribosomal RNA
Source: RNAcentral
GCGCGCAAUCUCCACAAUGCGCGGAAGCGUGAUGGGGGGAGUCUGAGUGAUUCACUUCGGUGGAUCUUUUGCCAAGUUUAGCAAGCUUGGAGAAUAAGUGCUGGGUAAGACCGGUGGCAGCCGCCACGGUAAUACCGGCGGCACAAGUGGUGUUCACUAUUAUUGGGCUUAAAGAGUCCGUAGCCGGCUAAAACCGUCUUGUGUGAAAUAUUGGUGCAUGACGCCAAUACGUGCAUAAGAUACCUUUUGGCUAGGGAGCGGGAGAGGUCAGGAGUAUUCAUGGGGUAAGAGUAAAAUCCCGUAAUCCUAUGAAGACUACCGGUGGCGAAGGCGCCUGACCAGAACGUAUCCGACGGUGAGUGACGAAGGCUAGGAGAACGAAUCGG